This 324-nucleotide ribosomal RNA is filed under the name uncultured bacterium. RNAcentral describes it as "bacterial SSU rRNA". It matches the Rfam family "Bacterial small subunit ribosomal RNA", at positions 28 to 334 of the family's 1533-position model. The record is from RNAcentral.
GAUGAACGCUGGCGGCGUGCUUAACACAUGCAAGUCGAACGAGAAUCAACGGAUUGAGGAUUCGUCCAAAUGAAGUUGAGGAAAGUGGCGGACGGGUGAGUAACGCGUGAGGAACCUGCCUCGGAGUGGGGAAUAACAGUUGGAAACAGCUGCUAAUACCGCAUAAUGCAACGGAAUCGCAUGACUCUGUUGCCCAAAGAUUUAUCGCUCUGAGAUGGCCUCGCGUCUGAUUAGCUAGUUGGCGGGGUAACGGCCCACCAAGGCGACGAUCAGUAGCCGGACUGAGAGGUUGGCCGGCCACAUUGGGACUGAGACACGGCCCAG